RNAcentral lists this ribosomal RNA (424 nucleotides) under uncultured bacterium. RNAcentral's name for it is "bacterial SSU rRNA". It matches the Rfam family "Bacterial small subunit ribosomal RNA", at positions 354 to 776 of the family's 1533-position model. The record is from RNAcentral.
GUGAGGAAUAUUGGUCAAUGGGCGGGAGCCUGAACCAGCCAAGUCGCGUGAGGGAAGACGGUCCUACGGAUUGUAAACCUCUUUUGCCGGGGAGCAAAACAGGCAGUGGUGUGCCUUAUGAGAGUACCCGGAGAAAAAGCAUCGGCUAACUCCGUGCCAGCAGCCGCGGUAAUACGGAGGAUGCGAGCGUUAUCCGGAUUUAUUGGGUUUAAAGGGUGCGUAGGCGGAUUGUUAAGUCAGCGGUAAAAUUGCGGAGCUCAACUCCGUACCGCCGUUGAAACUGGUGAUCUGGAGUGGGCGAGAAGUAUGCGGAAUGCGUGGUGUAGCGGUGAAAUGCAUAGAUAUCACGCAGAACUCCGAUUGCGAAGGCAGCAUACCGGCGCCCUACUGACGCUGAAGCACGAAAGCGUGGGUAUCGAACAGG